UUUCCGUAGGUGAACCUGAGGAAGGAUCAUUAACGAAGAUUGAUUGUGUGUGGGGGAGGAGAGUUGGAGAGUUGGGGGAUGACUAUCUAUUGAUUGAUUGUCUGUCUCGAUUAUCCACUCUCCCACCCACACCAUUAUUCACCCCGAGUAGUCGUUGCCGACUGCGGGACGUUUUGAGCGAUCAAAACAACAAAUUAUAUAGACGCAUGGAUGUUUGACAGUAUUUAUGAGUAAAAUGAUAAACAACUUUUAACAAUGGAUCUCUUGGCUCUU
RNAcentral lists this unclassified non-coding RNA (273 nucleotides) under plant metagenome. RNAcentral describes it as "partial contains small subunit ribosomal RNA, internal transcribed spacer 1, and 5.8S ribosomal RNA". The record is from RNAcentral.